UACGUAGGGUGCAAGCGUUGUCCGGAAUUAUUGGGCGUAAAGAGCUCGUAGGCGGUCUGUCGCGUCUGCUGUGAAAACCUGGGGCUUAACCCCGGGCCUGCAGUGGGUACGGGCAGGCUAGAGUGCGGUAGGGGAGACUGGAAUUCCUGGUGUAGCGGUGAAAUGCGCAGAUAUCAGGAGGAACACCGGUGGCGAAGGCGGGUCUCUGGGCCGUAACUGACGCUGAGGAGCGAAAGCAUGGGGAGCGAACAGG
This 253-nucleotide ribosomal RNA is filed under the name uncultured bacterium. RNAcentral's name for it is "partial 16S ribosomal RNA". It matches the Rfam family "Bacterial small subunit ribosomal RNA", at positions 524 to 776 of the family's 1533-position model. The record is from RNAcentral.